AAGUCGUAACAAGGUCUCCGUAGGUGAACCUGCGGAGGGAUCAUUACACAAAUAUGAAGGCGGGCUGGAACCUCUCGGGGUUACAGCCUUGCUGAAUUAUUCACCCUUGUCUUUUGCGUACUUCUUGUUUCCUUGGUGGGUUCGCCCACCACUAGGACAAACAUAAACCUUUUGUAAUUGCAAUCAGCGUCAGUAACAAAUUAAUAAUUACAACUUUCAACAACGGAUCUCUUGGUUCUGGCAUCGAUGAAGAACGCAGCGAAAUGCGAUAAGUAGUGUGAAUUGCAGAAUUCAGUGAGUCAUCGAAUCUUUGAACGCACAUUGCGCCCUUUGGUAUUCCAAAGGGCAUGCCUGUUCGAGCGUCAUUUGUACCCUCAAGCUUUGCUUGGUGUUGGGCGUCUUGUCUCUAGCUUUGCUGGAGACUCGCCUUAAAGUAAUUGGCAGCCGGCCUACUGGUUUCGGAGCGCAGCACAAGUCGCACUCUCUAUCAGCAAAGGUCUAGCAUCCAUUAAGCCUUUUUUCAACUUUUGACCUCGGAUCAGGUAGGGAUACCCGCUGAACUUAAGCAUAUCA
Molecule: ribosomal RNA, 573 nt
Filed under: uncultured fungus
Lineage: Eukaryota; Fungi
Description: eukaryotic LSU rRNA
Rfam family: 5.8S ribosomal RNA (bases 212-365)
Source: RNAcentral